RNAcentral lists this long non-coding RNA (491 nucleotides) under Capsicum annuum. RNAcentral's name for it is "long non-coding RNA (CANN_LNC002086)". Lineage: Eukaryota; Viridiplantae; Streptophyta; Magnoliopsida; Solanales; Solanaceae. The record is from RNAcentral.
GCACUGGCAUAAGCAAGGAGUCGGAUAAUCAACUCAAGCUUUGUUUAACUUGGCAAAACUAUGCAAAACUCGUAAAUGACACACCAAAACCAAUGUAUUUAACAUUACAGUAUCCACUGGUGUAUCUAAACAAGUAGUUAUUGAUUGUACAAGGAUACAAACUCCAAAAUAGGACAAAAAGGAUAUUACAUUGGAAAGUAUGCUACAACAAUUGGACACGAAUUGUGACCACAGAUGCUGGAACAGGAAAUAUCCAUGACGGCUUUGCCAAGACCAUGCUAAUAUAAAUUGAAUCACCUUAGAAGAAAAAUUUAAGGGGGGUGGGGGGUGGAAAAGGAUAUUACAUUGGAAAGUAUGCUACAACAAUUGGACACGAAUUGUGACCACAGAUGCUGGAACAGGAAAUAUCCAUGACGGCUUUGCCAAGACCAUGCUAAUAUAAAUUGAAUCACCUUAGAAGAAAAAUUUAAGGGGGGUGGGGGGUGGNNNNN